Molecule: ribosomal RNA, 497 nt
Filed under: uncultured Russula
Lineage: Eukaryota; Fungi; Basidiomycota; Agaricomycetes; Russulales; Russulaceae
Description: eukaryotic LSU rRNA
Rfam family: 5.8S ribosomal RNA (bases 118-271)
Source: RNAcentral
UCUCACCCCUUGUGCAUCACCGCGUGGGUCCCCCUUUGCCGGAGGGCCCGCGUCUUUACACAAAACUCGAUACAGUGUAGAACGUUUAUUUUCGCGCUCGCACGCGAUCAAUAAUACAACUUUCAACAACGGAUCUCUUGGCUCUCGCAUCGAUGAAGAACGCAGCGAAAUGCGAUACGUAAUGUGAAUUGCAGAAUUCAGUGAAUCAUCGAAUCUUUGAACGCACCUUGCGCCCCUUGGCAUUCCGAGGGGCACACCCGUUUGAGUGUCGUGAAAUCUUCAAAAACCCUCUCUUUCGAGGGGGAUUUUUGGACUUGGAGGUUCGAUGCUCGCUUUCGCCUUUUAGAAAGCGAGCUCCUCUCAAAUGAAUCAGUGGGGUCUGCUUUGCCGGUCCUUGACGUGAUAAGAUCUUUCUACGUUUCGGACUCGACAUCGUCCCGCUCCCAAUCGUCCCCACGGACAAAGGAUGGUGCUCCGGUCGCGGCCGGACCCAAAAA